UCUUUGGGACAAAUUCAGGAUUCAAUUGGCGAUUGUUUUUGGAGGUAUUCACUUUACAUGGUGUUCAAGAUGGUUACUUCCGCCCACUCUGAAGAGUCUCGGCGUCUGAUUGGUCCAAUUUUCAGUUAGGCGCCGCCUGAUUGGCCGUUGGAUGAUGUCUGAUCCUAACAGAUGGCUAAAUCACUAGUUUAUUAUUUUCCUCAUGGAAGUUAUACAGUUCACGUAUCACACUUAAUAUUGAAUAUAUAUAAAAAGAGUUUUCCAAAAGGACCACUUAUAAGCGAAAUACAAAACUUCACACACGAUUUUGAGCACAACAGAGCGCUCAGUGAACAUCACUUCCGGGACCUGCAUCACCGGAGGGGGACAUCUAUCUUGGCCACAAACCAUCUUUGACAGUCUUCAGCAGCAUGGUUGAAUCAGGCGCAUCAACACAUGAUGUAGACAUCGUGUCCAAAAGAAGAGUGAGACGUAAUCCUGAGGCUGAAGCCACCGAGUUUAUUUGAUCUGGAUGUGACAAGUCUUGUUUUAAGGCCCAGUGGAUCAAUGAUUGGAAAGACACCAACUGUUGAUGUUCUAUCUCAACAUUCUCCAGAUUCAUGUGAGCGAUAAACCGACUUCAUCCCUCCAACAGACACCAACUGUUGGGGUUCUAUCUCAACAUUCUCCAGAUUCAGAUGUGAGCGAUAAACCGACUUCAUCCCUCCAACAGGUUAUUACAAGUCUAUUUUUACUAUAUCUGCUCUAAAUGUGACCCAACCUAUAUUUUGAAAGACAUUUAUUAAUUUUAA
Long non-coding RNA from Nerophis ophidion (straightnose pipefish), 791 nucleotides. RefSeq lists it as uncharacterized. The record is from RefSeq and is a predicted model, not a curated record. The transcript has 4 exons. NCBI's taxonomy places the organism in Eukaryota, Metazoa, Chordata, Actinopteri, Syngnathiformes, Syngnathidae.